UGGGUAGUCCGUAACGAGCGCACCUUACCUUAGUUGCCAGCACGUAAUGGUGGGAACUCUAAGGGGACUGCCGGUGACAAACCGGAGGAAGGCGGGGACGACGUCAAGUCAUCAUGGCCCUUACGGGUAGGGCUACACACGUGCUACAAUGGACAGUACAGAGGGCAGCGAAGCGGUGACGUGGAGCGAAUCCCAGAAAGCUGUUCGUAGUCCGGAUUGCAGUCUGCAACUCGACUGCAUGAAGUUGGAAUCGCUAGUAAUCGCGGAUCAGAAUGCCGCGGUGAAUACGUUCUCGGGCCUUGUACACACCGCCCGUCACACCAUGGGAGUAGGUUGCACCAGAAGUAGGUAGACUAACCGCUUGCGGGGGUCGCUUACCACGGUGUGAUUUAUGACUGGGGUGAAGUCGUAACAAGGUAGCCGUAGGGGAACCUGCGGCUGGAUCACCUCCUU
Molecule: ribosomal RNA, 453 nt
Filed under: uncultured Gammaproteobacteria bacterium
Lineage: Bacteria; Pseudomonadati; Pseudomonadota; Gammaproteobacteria
Description: bacterial SSU rRNA
Rfam family: Bacterial small subunit ribosomal RNA
Source: RNAcentral